AGUGAACGCUGGCGGUAGGCCUAACACAUGCAAGUCGAACGGCAGCACAGUAAGAGCUUGCUCUUACGGGUGGCGAGUGGCGGACGGGUGAGGAAUACAUCGGAAUCUACUUUUUCGUGGGGGAUAACGUAGGGAAACUUACGCUAAUACCGCAUACGACCUACGGGUGAAAGCAGGGGAUCUUCGGACCUUGCGCGAUUGAAUGAGCCGAUGUCGGAUUAGCUAGUUGGCGGGGUAAAGGCCCACCAAGGCGACGAUCCGUAGCUGGUCUGAGAGGAUGAUCCGCCACAACUGAACCGAGAAAAGGGCCAGACCCCUAAGGGAGGGAGCAGUGGGGAAUAUUGGACAAUGGGGGGAAGGCCGAUCCAGGCCAACCGGGGGGGUGAAGAAGGGCUUUGGGUUGUAAAAGCCCUUUUUUUGGAAAGAAAAGCCGCCGGUUAAAAACCCGGCGUUCUUGAGGUAACCCAAGAAUAAGCCACGGCCAAAUUUGUG
This 492-nucleotide ribosomal RNA is filed under the name uncultured bacterium. RNAcentral describes it as "partial 16S ribosomal RNA". It matches the Rfam family "Bacterial small subunit ribosomal RNA", at positions 29 to 507 of the family's 1533-position model. The record is from RNAcentral.